RNAcentral lists this ribosomal RNA (465 nucleotides) under uncultured bacterium. RNAcentral describes it as "partial 16S ribosomal RNA". It matches the Rfam family "Bacterial small subunit ribosomal RNA", at positions 28 to 507 of the family's 1533-position model. The record is from RNAcentral.
GACGAACGCUGGCGGCGUGCUUAACACAUGCAAGUCGAACGGAAAGGCCCUGCUUGCAGGGUACUCGAGUGGCGAACGGGUGAGUAACACGUGGGUGAUCUGCCCUGCACUUCGGGAUAAGCCUGGGAAACUGGGUCUAAUACCGGAUAUGACCUUCCAAGUAGUGUGGGGGGUGGCAAGAUUUAUCGGUGUGGGAUGAGCCCGCGGCCUAUCAGCUUGUUGGUGGGGUAAUGGCCUACCAAGGCGUCGACGGGUAGCCGGCCUGAGAGGGUGGACGGCCACAUUGGGACUGAGAUACGGCCCAGACUCCUACGGGAGGCAGCAGUGGGGAAUAUUGCACAAUGAGCGGAAGCCUGAUGCAGCGACGCCGCGUGGGGGAUGACGGCCUUCGGGUUGUAAACCUCUUUCGACAGGGACGAAGCUUCGGUGACGGUACCUGUAUAAGAAGCACCGGCUAACUACGUG